Small nucleolar RNA from Homo sapiens (human), 89 nucleotides. NCBI's taxonomy places the organism in Eukaryota, Metazoa, Chordata, Mammalia, Primates, Hominidae. The record is from Ensembl.
AGGUCAUUGCAAAGAGGGCUUGUGGGGCUGUGAAACCGGGGGCUUUUAACGUACUGACCAAAGACGGAUGUUCUCCAUGAGAAGCUAUA